CAUCCUGCAAAGGAUCAAAGACAGAUUUAAAUCAGCUUAUUGUGUAAUCUAAACUGGCACCUUGCAUCACUUUUGACCUCCACAUCCACAGAAUGAGACUCUUACCUUAAGCCCAUUAUCAUGCCAAGUCAGAAAGCAAAUUUUGGAAUUUCCUCUAUUCUUUGUCUAAAGUAGUGUUGAUUAAUGAACCUCCAGCCAGCCAGUUACUUCAGAGCCUCCUCAGGAAAUUUAAAGAACCUAUAGUUCUUUCCUCAAGAGGUGAUACAGCUGCAAACACUGAACUUAAAACACUCUCUCUUCACACUACUGGUGGUAACUCGUUUGAUUAAGGGACUGCCUAAACAGUACCUCAGUCUAGGCUUCCACAGAAGAAAUAUGCCUGGCAGCAGCACCUGGGUGAAGUAUUUUUCCACUGUUUCUUAGUCCCCAUACACCAUGGUAUACCAUCCCUCCAACUGGGCUCAGAACAACCACAGGAAUGCAGAAAGAACCAGAUUUGAGAAUUGAGGCAAAAGCAUCAAGUGAACUGCCUGAUGUAGCCGUGUGCAUCUCAAAAGGAAUCGCUGCAGCACAGCAUAAGGAGCAGUGUAUCACAGAAGACACACAACUGAUUUGCUUAGUUUGUGAAGUCAUUGCCUUUACCUUUUCUGGCCAUAUCUUAUUUCUGUCAUUAAAGAUGGUUUUGUAACCAACUGUAAGAGAACAGGGAAUGUAAAACUGUGUCACUUUGGUGUUGUGUAGGAUUUCAGUAGCUGAAAAUUCUAGUCUAAAUUUGCAAAUGCCUUCUCAACUACAUUUUUGCCAUGGGAAUCUUUUCACAGUCUGUUUCAUGGUAGUUUUCUUUUCAUGUUUUUAUUUAUUAGAAAUCAAAACCAAACACCAGAUACCAAAUGAGGGUGAAGAAUGGGAUUUGGGGUAUGGGGCUUAAAGAGGUGCCUUUUUUCAUUUAAAUCCCCAAGGAACUUGGAGGCUUCGGCAAAAUACCCUUUCAGUGAAAGUAGUUUUUGUUGUACAAGCACCUAGGAACAGUUUGUGCAGAACUGUAACACGUGCAUGUGGGCCAAAAGGGACCGUUAGAGGUCAUGUAGUCCAGUCUCCUCCACAUGACAGUGCCACCAAUACUAUCAGCUGUGGCUCUGUCUAGCUGAGGUUUGUUUUGAAGCGUGCAAGGAUGGAGAUACCACAGCCUCCUUGGAUGGCCUGUUCUAGUGUUGCACACAUUUCUAGCAGAAUGUGUUACCUUAAGAGAAAACGCCAAGGGUUACUGUAAAAACCUCCACUGCUUUAAACAUCUUAUGAAUACAUUGCUGGGAUUGACAAAAAAAAAUAUUUAUGCUUCAGUAUCUGUAUUUAUCUUUAGAAUAAUGUAUUAAGUGCUGUUUACUUAAAAAUUUAUUUCUGUAUGCUGUCUGUUCCCUUCUAUCACUACAAUUUCCUCCUGAAAGACCAAUGCCUCUAAUCCUUUUUUAUCAAAUCAUUCUUGUAAAAGCUCUACUGCUCAAAUAUUUUUUCCUGAAGUAGCACAUUAAUUGUAUCCACCUAUGUUUCAGUUUCAUAUCUGAAUUUCUUUCUCUGAGAUUAAAGACAAAUCUGCAUACUAGCUCUUAAAUCAGCAUGCCAGAUACAGACAGAGCAUUACCUACCACUUGGUAAAAGUCUUUUCACUGUACAAACAUCUAUCUACAAGAUCCAUGCUAAUAAUGCUGGAAUACGUUUCUUUCCUCGCAUCUUUGAGGCUGUAUUUUGCAACAGAAUUUUACACCAAAACUAGGGGUUUAUAAUAAGAAACUUGCUAGAAAAAGAGGAGAAGAAAAGCUACUGAGAUUUCAGAAUACCUAUGAAUACAACCCAACCAGUAUCUCACGACAGAAGAAUUAGAAGAGAAAUCCAUGUAUUGAUUAAUUUGCACUAACCACAGCUGAGGUAAAGGAUCUGAAUUUUCAAGUGCUCCUAUAAUGAGAUACUACUGUGCAAAAAGGCACAGCAGCGGAGAUGUUUACUUCCAUGCUACAAUUUUACAAAAAGCUGCUUCUCCCUGAAUAUACUUUUUUAAGGUUAUCCUUUUCAGUGAAAAAUAAA
Molecule: long non-coding RNA, 2079 nt
Organism: Falco peregrinus (peregrine falcon)
Lineage: Eukaryota; Metazoa; Chordata; Aves; Falconiformes; Falconidae
Exons: 2
Source: RefSeq, a predicted model, not a curated record